UAAAGCAUAAUUAAAACAUAAUAAUAUAAGACUUUUUAAUCUAACAUUGUAGACUCUCUACUGCUUUAA
Molecule: transfer RNA, 69 nt
Filed under: Rossellidae sp. DVL-2014
Lineage: Eukaryota; Metazoa; Porifera; Hexactinellida; Lyssacinosida; Rossellidae
Description: tRNA-Lys
Source: RNAcentral